RNAcentral lists this ribosomal RNA (457 nucleotides) under uncultured bacterium. RNAcentral's name for it is "bacterial SSU rRNA". It matches the Rfam family "Bacterial small subunit ribosomal RNA", at positions 29 to 487 of the family's 1533-position model. The record is from RNAcentral.
AACGAACGCUGGCGGCAUGCCUAACACAUGCAAGUCGAACGGGAUCCUAGCUUGCUAGGUGAGAGCGGCGCACGGGUGAGUAACGCGUACAUGACCUGCCUGUCAGAAGGGGAUAGCCCUGGGAAACUGGGAUUAAUACCCUAUGGUAUUGAUAUUAUGAAUGAUAUCAAUUAAAGUUGAGGCGCUGACAGAUGGAUGUGCGUCUGAUUAGCUAGUUGGUAGGGUAACGGCCUACCAAGGCGACGAUCAGUAGGGGGCGUGAGAGCGUGGUCCCCCACACGGGUACUGAGACACGGACCCGACUCCCUACGGGAGGCAGCAGUAAGGAAUAUUGGUCAAUGCCCGCAAGGGUGAACCAGCCAUUCCGCGUGGAGGAUGAAGGCCCUAUGGGUUGUAAACUUCUUUUAGAUGGGAAGAAAAUGCUAGAUGUAUCUGGUACUGACGGUACCAUCAGAAU